GGUCCCCAGAUAUUCUUGGGCUAAAACUUCCAUAAGCCUUCACCACUAGCCAGGUUGGCCAGGAUUUCUGGGAGUUGAAGUCCAGGACCAUCUGGGAAUUAAAGAGUUACACAGCAGUAUGGAAAAAGGGACAGUUGCCUAAAGUAUUAUAUUAGUAUUAUAUCAUGUGUAUUCUGAUAAGAUGGACCGUAGUCUACAAAAGCUUAUGGGGCAUGCAAUUUGCUAAUAUAUAAGAUGUCAGAAGACUCUUUGUGUGGUACUUCCCCUGGCCCAAAUGUUUGAAGAAGUCACUUGUCUAGGUGAACAGAAACCCACAUAGAUUGCCUUGUUUUGUUUGUUUAUUUUCCACCUCUCUCUUUUUUGUUCUUGUUAAAAACAUGUUUUUCUUCCCCAACCAGUGAGUAAGGGAUCAAAGGCUCUAAAGCCGUGAUGAAAUACAAGGUUAAAAAUGGGAAUGUUUUUGUAAUGUGUAUGUCUUUAUAAUAUGGAAUUUGUUUGAGUGUUGCACACACACACACACACACACACACACACACACACACACACACACACACAGAGAGAGAGAGAGAGAGAGAGAGAGAGAGAGUCUAGUAUCCUGUUGGAUUUGCCCAGUGUAAGUAGGUAAUCACAUAUGAACCUACCUAUGUAUGCUCUUAUCUUGCCCUCAAGGCCAUCUGAUCCAUAGCCUGAAGGAGAUGGUUCCGGACUGAAUUAGAUGCAUGGCGAUACAAUGGAUGACAAGCCAGAAGGAAAACAAAAACCUGCCGGGCAAUUACAAUGACCUUUGGAACGUAACGUGGGACUGCACUGUACAUGGGAGAUUUAGAUGGAGCUGUGUGAUACCAGUGAUGUCCAUUAUACUUUCUUCUGCUACAGAAGACAAAGAAGCUGACUGAAGAGUGGUUGGGUUAAAAUAAAUUUCAAGGAACAAAAGUUAGAGCA
This 942-nucleotide long non-coding RNA is filed under the name Pogona vitticeps (central bearded dragon). Its description in RNAcentral is "lncRNA (ENSPVIG00000014171.1)". Lineage: Eukaryota; Metazoa; Chordata; Lepidosauria; Squamata; Agamidae. The record is from RNAcentral.